RNAcentral lists this ribosomal RNA (253 nucleotides) under uncultured bacterium. RNAcentral describes it as "partial 16S ribosomal RNA". It matches the Rfam family "Bacterial small subunit ribosomal RNA", at positions 524 to 776 of the family's 1533-position model. The record is from RNAcentral.
UACGUAGGUGACAAGCGUUGUCCGGAUUUACUGGGCGUAAAGAGCGCGCAGGCGGUCGUUCAAGUCGAGUGUGAAAGCCCCCGGCUCAACUGGGGAGGGCCAUUCGAUACUGAUCGACUCGAAGGCAGGAGAGGGAAGUGGAAUUCCCGGUGUAGUGGUGAAAUGCGUAGAUAUCGGGAGGAACACCGGUGGCGAAGGCGGUUCUCUGGGCCUGUACUGACGCUGAGGAGCGAAAGCGUGGGGAGCGAACAGG